RNAcentral lists this ribosomal RNA (1287 nucleotides) under Microbacterium testaceum. Its description in RNAcentral is "bacterial SSU rRNA". It matches the Rfam family "Bacterial small subunit ribosomal RNA", at positions 111 to 1410 of the family's 1533-position model. Lineage: Bacteria; Bacillati; Actinomycetota; Actinomycetes; Micrococcales; Microbacteriaceae. The record is from RNAcentral.
UAACACGUGAGCAACCUGCCCUGGACUCUGGGAUAAGCGCUGGAAACGGCGUCUAAUACUGGAUAUGAGACGUGAUCGCAUGGUCGUGUUUGGAAAGAUUUUUCGGUCUGGGAUGGGCUCGCGGCCUAUCAGCUUGUUGGUGAGGUAAUGGCUCACCAAGGCGUCGACGGGUAGCCGGCCUGAGAGGGUGACCGGCCACACUGGGACUGAGACACGGCCCAGACUCCUACGGGAGGCAGCAGUGGGGAAUAUUGCACAAUGGGCGGAAGCCUGAUGCAGCAACGCCGCGUGAGGGAUGACGGCCUUCGGGUUGUAAACCUCUUUUAGCAGGGAAGAAGCGAAAGUGACGGUACCUGCAGAAAAAGCGCCGGCUAACUACGUGCCAGCAGCCGCGGUAAUACGUAGGGCGCAAGCGUUAUCCGGAAUUAUUGGGCGUAAAGAGCUCGUAGGCGGUUUGUCGCGUCUGCUGUGAAAUCCCGAGGCUCAACCUCGGGCCUGCAGUGGGUACGGGCAGACUAGAGUGCGGUAGGGGAGAUUGGAAUUCCUGGUGUAGCGGUGGAAUGCGCAGAUAUCAGGAGGAACACCGAUGGCGAAGGCAGAUCUCUGGGCCGUAACUGACGCUGAGGAGCGAAAGGGUGGGGAGCAAACAGGCUUAGAUACCCUGGUAGUCCACCCCGUAAACGUUGGGAACUAGUUGUGGGGACCAUUCCACGGUUUCCGUGACGCAGCUAACGCAUUAAGUUCCCCGCCUGGGGAGUACGGCCGCAAGGCUAAAACUCAAAGGAAUUGACGGGGACCCGCACAAGCGGCGGAGCAUGCGGAUUAAUUCGAUGCAACGCGAAGAACCUUACCAAGGCUUGACAUAUACGAGAACGGGCCAGAAAUGGUCAACUCUUUGGACACUCGUAAACAGGUGGUGCAUGGUUGUCGUCAGCUCGUGUCGUGAGAUGUUGGGUUAAGUCCCGCAACGAGCGCAACCCUCGUUCUAUGUUGCCAGCACGUAAUGGUGGGAACUCAUGGGAUACUGCCGGGGUCAACUCGGAGGAAGGUGGGGAUGACGUCAAAUCAUCAUGCCCCUUAUGUCUUGGGCUUCACGCAUGCUACAAUGGCCGGUACAAAGGGCUGCAAUACCGUAAGGUGGAGCGAAUCCCAAAAAGCCGGUCCCAGUUCGGAUUGAGGUCUGCAACUCGACCUCAUGAAGUCGGAGUCGCUAGUAAUCGCAGAUCAGCAACGCUGCGGUGAAUACGUUCCCGGGUCUUGUACACACCGCCCGUCAAGUCAUGAAAG